AUUACCUGAGGAUCUUGUUAAAAUGCAGAUUCUAAUUUAGUAGGGCUGAGGUGGGCUUGAGAUUCUGCAUUUCUAACAAGCUCCCAGGUGAUGCCAGU
Tupaia belangeri (northern tree shrew) is the source of this 98-nucleotide microRNA precursor. The record is from Ensembl. Lineage: Eukaryota; Metazoa; Chordata; Mammalia; Scandentia; Tupaiidae.